CGGAAGGUAUCCUGCUGCAUUGCC
This 24-nucleotide non-coding RNA is filed under the name Arabidopsis thaliana (thale cress). The record is from RNAcentral. Lineage: Eukaryota; Viridiplantae; Streptophyta; Magnoliopsida; Brassicales; Brassicaceae.